RNAcentral lists this ribosomal RNA (164 nucleotides) under uncultured bacterium. RNAcentral describes it as "partial 16S rRNA". It matches the Rfam family "Bacterial small subunit ribosomal RNA", at positions 355 to 511 of the family's 1533-position model. The record is from RNAcentral.
UAGGGAAUCUUCCACAAUGGGCGCAAGCCUGAUGGAGCAACGCCGCGUGAGUGAAGAAGGUCUUCGGAUCGUAAACUCUGUUGUUAGAGAAGAACAUGCAGGAGAGUAACUGUUCUUGUAUUUGACGGUAUCUAACCAGAAAGCCACGGCUAACUACGUGCCAG